Molecule: small RNA, 97 nt
Filed under: Flavobacterium sp. 11
Lineage: Bacteria; Pseudomonadati; Bacteroidota; Flavobacteriia; Flavobacteriales; Flavobacteriaceae
Description: Flavo-1 RNA
Source: RNAcentral
AAAUAGCCCCGAUAGUCCCGAAGCUUCGGGAGACAUCCUUUUUUUCUUAUUUUUUGUUCAACAAGAAAAAAAGAUAGAACGAAUAGCGGGACAGGUU